RNAcentral lists this ribosomal RNA (253 nucleotides) under uncultured bacterium. RNAcentral's name for it is "partial 16S ribosomal RNA". It matches the Rfam family "Bacterial small subunit ribosomal RNA", at positions 524 to 776 of the family's 1533-position model. The record is from RNAcentral.
UACGUAGGGCGCGAGCGUUAUCCGGAAUUAUUGGGCGGAAAGAGCUCGUAGGCGGUUUGUCGCGUCUGCCGUGAAAGUCCGGGGCUCAACUCCGGAUCUGCGGUGGGUACGGGCAGACUAGAGUGAUGUAGGGGAGACUGGAAUUCCUGGUGUAGCGGUGAAAUGCGCAGAUAUCAGGAGGAACACCGGUGGCGAAGGCGGUUCUCUGGGCAUGAUCUGACGCUGAGGAGCGAAAGUGUGGGGAGCGAACAGG